AACUCUAAAGAGGUUCAAAAAGUGUCCUAGAGUGUGUAAAGAGACCUCACCUUUAUAGGAGAGGAGAAGGUGCCAUGGGAUAGAUUUUGUGUUUAGCCAAAAAUUUGUCCAAAAAAUGAUAGAUUUUUUUGACCAAAAAUCUGUCCAAAACCAGAAUUUUAUCCAAUGAAUAGUUUUUCUUACCAAUUGUGAACAGAAUUUUGGAGUAUUGUACUUCAAAACAGUCUGCAACAGUAAAAAGCAAACAAAUAAAGGCCCUACACUCAAGCACUCUCUAUCUUUACCAACAAAUAGCUGAAUUUAGAACUCAAACCUUCAAACUGUCCAAACUAUGGAUUGAUACAGCAAAAACAAGACUUAAAAGGUAACCGAACUAAGUAUUCAAACAAACUAGAUUCAAUUCAAUUUGAUUUUGUGCAAACUAACAUGAAGCGAUUGAGAUUACAAACCAUCGCGUGAAACAGAAACUAAACGAGCAUUACUAAACUAUUACAUAUGGCUAAUAACAACUUAACAAACGACUAACUAAGUAAAUGAUUCAACUAAUCUUUUUGAUUUUUCAUGAAACUAGCAUAAAACACUUAACUAUCGACCGGCUAGGUCGGAAAACUGAAGAUUCAAACUUAACAAAUUCGCACAAAAUAGACGAUCAGCUAGGUCGAAGAACCAAAAAUCAGAACUAAUAGACAAUAACGAACUACUCGAUCGGCUAGGUCGAAGAACUAAAAUUCGCAUUUAUAAAGUAACAUGUAAUUAAAAACUAAUACUCAAUUGCACAUAAACAACGGCGAUGUUAAUAGAAAUUAAACCUUUUAAAACUAAUAUUAAUUACAAAAGCAAAAAAUCAGAGAAGAUAAAAAGGAAAUAAGGUUUAUACCAAUCGAGGGCAUUUGACAUUGUUCAAGCCACGAGAAGAUGUCGGGGAUACCAAUUGGUGGUUGUCCGAACCCGAGGCGCAUGUUUCUUUUUGGCAGGCGUUAAACCAAUAUAUUCUCGCGUCUUGCCAAAAGGAAACAAAUGCCUUUGGGGUCGAAAAAAAGAAAAAAAAAAUAGAAAAAGAGAAGUAGUGGUGGCGGGCAGUGGGGUCGCGGAAUUUCGGUAGCCAGAGUUUCGGGUUAAGACCAAUGCCAAAUUAUAGCCCUUGUCGAGCUAUAUACUUCUAUGUAGGCGUUGGGUGAAAGGGGUGGCUCAAUAUUCACGGAUUUAACAAAAAAGUGCGGCUAGGGCUUUCCUAGAUCUAAAUUUCGUGGAUUUUAUGAGGGUUUUGAAGGAUUUUAUUUGAAGAUAUGGAAAGAGGAAGUUGAGAGGAAGAAAGGGUGAAAUUUUGGUGGUGUCUGGAGCACCACCGAAGGUGGCGCACGGUGGUGGCAGUGGAGGAGGGCGGCGGCGGCUUAAGAAGAGGGAGGGGUCUUCUAGGGUUU
RNAcentral lists this long non-coding RNA (1421 nucleotides) under Nicotiana tabacum (common tobacco). RNAcentral's name for it is "long non-coding RNA (NTAB_LNC001222)". Lineage: Eukaryota; Viridiplantae; Streptophyta; Magnoliopsida; Solanales; Solanaceae. The record is from RNAcentral.